AGAACCUUUAAAUUCAGUCCUGUGAGGCUGAGAAGGGGUCGGAUCAAUAAAAGAGAUAUGUGUGCUUUGUUCUGUGCGCAUAAACGGUUCCUCUCGCUUCAAGGGCGAGAGGAUUUUUUAU
This is a non-coding RNA of Geobacillus sp. Y4.1MC1, 121 nucleotides long. The record is from Rfam. NCBI's taxonomy places the organism in Bacteria, Bacillati, Bacillota, Bacilli, Caryophanales, Anoxybacillaceae.